CUGGCUGGGCCAACGGCUGCAACACAGGACAUGGGUCCUGCCUCUCCUCCCCGCUCGUGUCUUGUGUUGCAGCCAGUGGAGCUGC
RNAcentral lists this microRNA precursor (85 nucleotides) under Oreochromis niloticus (Nile tilapia). RNAcentral describes it as "mir-187 microRNA precursor family". It matches the Rfam family "mir-187 microRNA precursor family". The record is from Rfam by way of RNAcentral. RNAcentral also lists the same sequence under 6 other names. Lineage: Eukaryota; Metazoa; Chordata; Actinopteri; Cichliformes; Cichlidae.